RNAcentral lists this ribosomal RNA (1011 nucleotides) under Vikalpa dujuanhuensis. Its description in RNAcentral is "SSU rRNA". It matches the Rfam family "Eukaryotic small subunit ribosomal RNA", at positions 79 to 1099 of the family's 1831-position model. The record is from RNAcentral. Lineage: Eukaryota; Fungi; Ascomycota; Dothideomycetes; Pleosporales; Dictyosporiaceae.
CCGUGAAACUGCGAAUGGCUCAUUAAAUCAGUUAUCGUUUAUUUGAUAGUACCUUACUACUUGGAUACCCGUGGUAAUUCUAGAGCUAAUACAUGCUAAAAACCCCGACUUCGGGAGGGGUGUGUUUAUUAGAUAAAAAACCAACGCCCUUCGGGGCUCCUUGGUGAUUCAUGAUAACCUCUCAGAUCGCACGGCCUUGCGCCGGCGACGGUUCAUUCAAAUUUCUGCCCUAUCAACUUUCGAUGGUAAGGUAUUGGCUUACCAUGGUUUCAACGGGUAACGGGGAAUUAGGGUUCGAUUCCGGAGAGUGAGCCUGAGAAACGGCUCACACAUCCAAGGAAGGCAGCAGGCGCGCAAAUUACCCAAUCCCGACACGGGGAGGUAGUGACAAUAAAUACUGAUACAGGGCUCUUUUGGGUCUUGUAAUUGGAAUGAGUACAAUUUAAACCUCUUAACGAGGAACAAUUGGAGGGCAAGUCUGGUGCCAGCAGCCGCGGUAAUUCCAGCUCCAAUAGCGUAUAUUAAAGUUGUUGCAGUUAAAAAGCUCGUAGUUGAAUCUUUGGCCUGGCUGGUGGGUCCGCCUCACCGCGUGCACUUGUCCGGCCGGGCCUUCUCUUCUGGAGAACCGCAUGCCCUUCACUGGGCGUGUUGGGGACCAGGACUUUUACUUUGAAAAAAUUAGAGUGUUCAAAGCAGGCCUUUGCUCGAAUACGUUAGCAUGGAAUAAUAGAAUAGGACGUGCGGUCCUAUUUUGUUGGUUUCUAGGACCGCCGUAAUGAUUAAUAGGGACAGUCGGGGGCAUCAGUAUUCAAUUGUCAGAGGUGAAAUUCUUGGAUUUAUUGAAGACUAACUACUGCGAAAGCAUUUGCCAAGGAUGUUUUCAUUAAUCAGUGAACGAAAGUUAGGGGAUCGAAGACGAUCAGAUACCGUCGUAGUCUUAACCAUAAACUAUGCCGACUAGGGAUCGGGCGGUGUUAUCGAUUUGACCCGCUCGGCACCUUGCGAGAAAUC